This 441-nucleotide ribosomal RNA is filed under the name uncultured bacterium. RNAcentral's name for it is "partial 16S ribosomal RNA". It matches the Rfam family "Bacterial small subunit ribosomal RNA", at positions 338 to 795 of the family's 1533-position model. The record is from RNAcentral.
CCUACGGGAGGCAGCAGUGGGGAAUAUUGCACAAUGGGGGAAACCCUGAUGCAGCGACGCCGCGUGAGCGAGGAAGUAUUUCGGUAUGUAAAGCUCUAUCAGCAGGGACGAAAAAAGACGGUACCUGACUAAGAAGCCCCGGCUAACUACGUGCCAGCAGCCGCGGUAAUACGUAGGGGGCAAGCGUUAUCCGGAUUUACUGGGUGUAAAGGGCGUGUAGCCGGGCUGACAAGUCAGAUGUGAAAUCCGGGGGCUCAACCCCCGAACUGCAUUUGAAACUGUUGGUCUUGAGUAUCGGAGAGGCAGGCGGAAUUCCUAGGGUAGCGGUGAAAUGCGUAGAUAUUAGGAGGAACACCAGUGGCGAAGGCGGCCUGCUGGACGACAACUGACGGUGAGGCGCGAAAGCGUGGGGAGCAAACAGGAUUAGAUACCCGGGUAGUC